UCCCGAGAUCGCGACCUAGACCUAAAAGAAGAAAUUGAUAUUUCUAAGUUAGUGAUCUUGCACUACAGUAACAAAAACAAUAUCAGGCACUGUUAAACAAAUCGCCUAUGAAUGUUUUGAAGAAAAAAAAUGUCAAAGAUUUCCUGCUUAAAUUAAUUUCUUAAAAAUUACAAGUAAAAAAGAAAAAACAAAUUAAUUCAAAAAAAUGUUCAAUGUAUAAAUAUACAAAUAUAACCUUACAAAUUAUACCCUGAGUUCCUCUUCAAAAAGGUGAACUACAACACACACACACACAGCAGCGCCUUCAUCAGCGCACACAGCGCUAAAACACACAUAGGCCAUGUGGCCAACUCUUCCACCAUAGAAGAUCAAAUCAAAAUCACAUUUGCCAAUCACUAUUCACAGUGGUCAGCCUCUCACUAGGCUCCAUGACCUGGUCAACCAAACGUCUUGUGAUCAACCCCAUAACCAUGACACUGGACUUAAUACACUAUGACCAUCAUCAUCAUCAAUUCAACCCUCACACAGUGAAGAAAAUAUCAAGACCACCCAAUUCCUGCAAACACAGCCUGCACAAAAAUAAGAGCAACCAGGAAAAGAUAUUUAUCUAAACUUAAGUUUGGUGUUAUCCAUAAGUAAACAAUUAACUAUCCACCUGGUGGGUGGCAAUUUUAAGACUAUAUUAAUACAAUCUAAGGCUACAACAUGAGUAAAUUAUGGAAUGUUUUAACAUUAUUUAAAUGAUUCCAAUAGGGGAUUUUUUUUAAAGGCAGAAUUUUAAAUAAUGAGUACAUUACCCCUAUAUGGUUUAAUUUAAAAUGUUCAAUCAAGCUGACAUAUGCUAACAUAUUAUGAUAUAGAACAAUACUAAUCUGACAAAUAUUUUCUGAUAAAUAACAUUAUUAAGAAACAACUUGUAUACAAAAACACCUACAUAUUAAAUAUGAGUAAAAUUUUACAUAGGUAUUAUUACCUUAUUAUUAAAAUUGUAUGCCAUAAUAAAUUUCCUAUUUAAACAACCUACCUAUUUCUUCGACGGUUGUUGGA
This is a non-coding RNA of Biomphalaria pfeifferi, 1047 nucleotides long. The record is from the annotation of a GenBank genome assembly. NCBI's taxonomy places the organism in Eukaryota, Metazoa, Mollusca, Gastropoda, Planorbidae.